UCGAGGGGCAGCAUUUCAGUUUGCUUGCAAACUGGAGAUGGCGACCGGCGCACGGGUGAGUAACACGUAUCCAACCUGCCGAUAACUCGGGGAUAGCCUUUCGAAAGAAAGAUUAAUACCCGAUGGCAUAAUAAAACCGCAUGGUUUUUUUAUUAAAGAAUUUCGGUUAUCGAUGGGGAUGCGUUCCAUUAGGCAGUUGGUGAGGUAACGGCUCACCAAACCUUCGAUGGAUAGGGGUUCUGAGAGGAAGGUCCCCCACAUUGGAACUGAGACACGGUCCAAACUCCUACGGGAGGCAGCAGUGAGGAAUAUUGGUCAAUGGGCGCAGGCCUGAACCAGCCAAGUAGCGUGAAGGAUGACUGCCCUAUGGGUUGUAAACUUCUUUUAUAUGGGAAUAAAGUUUUCCACGUGUGGAAUUUUGUAUGUACCAUAUGAAUAAGGAUCGGCUAACUCCGUGCCAGCAGCCGCGGUAAUACGGAGGAUCCGAGCGUUAUCCGGAUUUAUUGGGUUUAAAGGGAGCGUAGGUGGACAGUUAAGUCAGUUGUGAAAGUUUGCGGCUCAACCGUAAAAUUGCAGUUGAUACUGGCUGUCUUGAGUACAGUAGAGGUGGGCGGAAUUCGUGGUGUAGCGGUGAAAUGCUUAGAUAUCACGAAGAACUCCGAUUGCGAAGGCAGCUCACUGGACUGCAACUGACACUGAUGCUCGAAAGUGUGGGUAUCAAACAGGAUUAGAUACCCUGGUAGUCCACACAGUAAACGAUGAAUACUCGCUGUUUGCGAUAUACAGUAAGCGGCCAAGCGAAAGCAUUAAGUAUUCCACCUGGGGAGUACGCCGGCAACGGUGAAACUCAAAGGAAUUGACGGGGGCCCNGCACAAGCGGAGGAACAUGUGGUUUAAUUCGAUGAUACGCGAGGAACCUUACCCGGGCUUAAAUUGCAUUUGAAUAUAUUGGAAACAGUAUAGCCGUAAGGCAAAUGUGAAGGUGCUGCAUGGUUGUCGUCAGCUCGUGCCGUGAGGUGUCGGCUUAAGUGCCAUAACGAGCGCAACCCUUAUCUUUAGUUACUAACAGGUCAUGCUGAGGACUCUAGAGAGACUGCCGUCGUAAGAUGUGAGGAAGGUGGGGAUGACGUCAAAUCAGCACGGCCCUUACGUCCGGGGCUACACACGUGUUACAAUGGGGGGUACAGAAGGCAGCUACCUGGUGACAGGAUGCUAAUCCCAAAAGCCUCUCUCAGUUCGGAUCGAAGUCUGCAACCCGACUUCGUGAAGCUGGAUUCGCUAGUAAUCGCGCAUCAGCCAUGGCGCGGUGAAUACGUUCCCGGGCCUUGUACACACCGCCCGUCAAGCCAUGAAAGCCGGGGGUACCUGAAGUACGUAACCGCAAGGAGC
Molecule: ribosomal RNA, 1389 nt
Filed under: uncultured bacterium
Lineage: Bacteria
Description: bacterial SSU rRNA
Rfam family: Bacterial small subunit ribosomal RNA
Source: RNAcentral